CCAAGGCGCACGCUUGCCCAACAGCGGAUCUCCUCUUCCCAAAUUUCCAUUUCAGCUCGGGCGUUUAGGACAGCAGCAGGGACACGGUGCGGGGGCAGCGCUCAGCCCCAGAACCCGGCGGGGUGUGCCUUUGGCUGGGGAUCCCCUGACGCGAAACACCCCCUCCCGGGCCGGGCUCCUUUACCGGAGGCCCGCGGACUCCCCACGGCAAUCAGCGGGGCUGGGCUCCGGCUCCUCAAAAGAACUCACAGAAACACAGAAAGGCCCAGGGGGAGUCUUUUGCUGCUGGAAACAACUCUGCCUGGGACCCAGAAUCCAGAAAUGGGUGUCCCUGACCCAGGCAGGCAGAGAGAGGGAUUUUCACCAGUGCAAAUGCAAGAGGAAUGUUGGGAACACAGCUUGGCUAAAGGUAAGGGAAAGGUAAGGAAAGUAUUGUCCAGCACCUGCUAUGUUCUGGAUGCUGUACUUUGCAGAGAGAUAGUCUCAUGUAACCCUCACAACACCCCUAGGAGUUGAGCAUUGUUGUUAUUUCCAUUUU
This 538-nucleotide long non-coding RNA is filed under the name Canis lupus familiaris (dog). Its description in RNAcentral is "lncRNA (ENSCAFG00000045267.2)". The record is from RNAcentral. Lineage: Eukaryota; Metazoa; Chordata; Mammalia; Carnivora; Canidae.